CUCAGAGUGAAGUUCAAUGUUUAUAUGAAUCACACCUAUCUUUUCCUCGAGUUAAAAGCUGCAAAGUAUAGGAGGAGACUCGAAUUUGAUUUCAAAAGUCCGGUGAAAGAUUAACUGCUUAAUAUUAAGUCAUGUAACACCAUAAACACAGUCUUGCAGAUAAACUGCUUGAAGAUUCAGAAGAAUCACUGAAGAUGUGCACAAAACCAGCUUCUUAUUUAUAGACCUUGGGGCCCUUUUCUCUAGGUGCUGUGGACAUUGUGUGCCCCUCUGAUUAGGGAAGCAAUAUAAUAACAGACCAAUUUUGUAAAAAUCUCUAUUAGGAGUUACAUAGCUGUUCCUACUGCUUGUUUUUCUGUGGCCAUUGCAGUGCAAUCGAAAUACUUGCAAAUACUUCUAGUGCAAGCACCCUUAUGUGGAUCGACUCCAAAUCCUUCAGUUGCCCAAUAAAGAGUUCAGAUACAAAUUUUGAAGACUGCAGGAUCUAGAUUUUUUUACAGCUACUGCGAGGCAGCAAACUGACUAUGGGAACCUUCCUGAAAGUCAACCUUUCUGAACUGUGAGAGCUGCUUUUACUGCUUAAGUAUUUCCCAACCUUGUUACUUCAUGAUAUUUGUGACAGCUGUUAUUAAUGCACGCAAGAGACCCCAGCACUGGCAGAAGGGAGAGUGUCUUCACGCUGUUUUGCAACACUGCGCGUUUGAAGUUCCUCAGCUGCGCUGGGAGGAAGUGGUUAUUCAGUUCUGCUGCCAUUUCGCGAAGGAUGAAGCUCCAGUAAACUUUCCCUGCGAGAGUCACCUGGAAACCACAGCGAUAAAACCAAGUAUUUGCCCACUGCCUGCGAAAGGAGAUGCCACCAGCAGGAAACAGGAGCUUAGAAYAAGAUCUUUCAGAUUGCCAGAGACCUCCCAUCGUUCCCAGCGCACCACCUUGUGCAACCUUCAGCUGCCCUGUGUGUUUGCUGCCUACUUGGAAGCUCUCUUCCAAGAAGACCUGCUCUACCAGAGUGUAAAGCUUUGCAGGUGCCCUGGGGGAACGUGGUGGUGUGAUGUCUGGACUCAGAGUGCCCUUUGA
RNAcentral lists this long non-coding RNA (1074 nucleotides) under Dromaius novaehollandiae (emu). RNAcentral describes it as "lncRNA (ENSDNVG00000013211.1)". The record is from RNAcentral. Lineage: Eukaryota; Metazoa; Chordata; Aves; Casuariiformes; Dromaiidae.